GCUUGUCUCAAAGAUUAAGCCAUGCAUGUCUAAGUAUAAAUGGUAUACAGUGAAACUGCGAAUGGCUCAUUAAAACAGUUAUAGUUUAUUUGGUAUUCGAAUUUACAUGGAUAACCGUGGUAAUUCUAGAGCUAAUACAUGCAUUACGCCUGACUUUUCGGAAGGGCAGUAUUUAUUAGAUGGAAACCAAUGCGGGGCAACCCGGAAUAUGGUGAUUCAUAAUAACUUUCGGAUCGUUUACGAUGCAUCAUUCAAGUUUCUGCCCUAUCAGCUUUGGAUGGUAGGGUAUUGGCCUACCAUGGCUUUAACGGGUAACGGAGAAUUAGGGUUCGAUUCCGGAGAGGGAGCCUGAGAAAUGGCUACCACAUCCAAGGAAGGCAGCAGG
This 385-nucleotide ribosomal RNA is filed under the name Chromulina chionophila. Its description in RNAcentral is "partial small subunit ribosomal RNA". It matches the Rfam family "Eukaryotic small subunit ribosomal RNA", at positions 30 to 432 of the family's 1831-position model. The record is from RNAcentral. Lineage: Eukaryota; Chrysophyceae; Chromulinales; Chromulinaceae.